Molecule: ribosomal RNA, 467 nt
Filed under: uncultured bacterium
Lineage: Bacteria
Description: partial 16S ribosomal RNA
Rfam family: Bacterial small subunit ribosomal RNA
Source: RNAcentral
GAUGAACGCUGGCGGCGUGCUAACCCCUGCAAGUCGAACGGAAAGGCCAGUGCUUGCACUGGUACUCGCGUGGCGAACGGGUGAGUAACACGUGGGUGAUCUGCCCUGUACUUCGGGAUAAGCUUGGGAAACUGGGUCUAAUACCGGAUAGGACAACUUUUUGGAUAUUGUUGUGGAAAGCUUUUGCGGUAUGGGAUGAGCUCGCGGCCUAUCAGCUUGUUGGUGGGGUAAUGGCCUACCAAGGCGUCGACGGGUAGCCGGCCUGAGAGGGUGUACGGCCACAUUGGGACUGAGAUACGGCCCAGACUCCUACGGGAGGCAGCAGUGGGGAAUAUUGCACAAUGGGCGCAAGCCUGAUGCAGCGACGCCGCGUGGGGGAUGAAGGCCUUCGGGUUGUAAACUCCUUUCGCUAGGGACGAAGCUUUUUUGUGACGGUACCUGGAGAAGAAGCACCGGCUAACUACGUG